Molecule: transfer RNA, 65 nt
Filed under: Dipodomys ordii (Ord's kangaroo rat)
Lineage: Eukaryota; Metazoa; Chordata; Mammalia; Rodentia; Heteromyidae
Rfam family: tRNA
About the family: Transfer RNA (tRNA) molecules are approximately 80 nucleotides in length. Their secondary structure includes four short double-helical elements and three loops (D, anti-codon, and T loops).
Source: Rfam by way of RNAcentral
GGUGGCUUAGGGGUAGAGUGCUUGCCUUGCAUGCAGGAGGCCCUGGGUUCAAUUCCUCAGCACCA